AGAGUUUGAUCCUGGCUCAGAUCGACCGCUGGGGGCAGGCUUAACACAUGCAACUCAAGCGGCAGCCCGCCUUCCGGUGCUGACGAGCGGCGGACGGGUGAGUAAUGCAUGGGAAUCUGCCCGGUAAUGGGGGAUAGCCCGGGGAAACUCGGAUUAAUACCGCAUACGCCCUACGGGGGAAAGCAGGGGAUCUUCGGACCUUGCGUUACCGGAUGAGCCCAUGUCGGAUUAGCUAGUUGGUAGGGUAAAGGCCUACCAAGGCGACGAUCCGUAACUGGUCUGAGAGGAUGAUCAGUCACACCGGAACUGAGACACGGUCCGGACUCCUACGGGAGGCAGCAGUGGGGAAUAUUGGACAAUGGGGGCAACCCUGAUCCAGCCAUGCCGCGUGUGUGAAGAAGGCCUUCGGGUUGUAAAGCACUUUCAGCGGGGAGGAAGGCUCGUUGGCUAAUAUCCAACGGGAUUGACGUUACCCGCAGAAGGAGCACCGGGCAAACUCCGUGCCAGCAGCCGCGGUAAUACGGAGGGUGCGAGCGUUAAUCGGAAUUACUGGGCGUAAAGCGCGCGUAGGCGGCUGGGAAAGUUGGAUGUGAAAGCCCCGGGCUUAACCUGGGAAUUGCAUCCAAAACUACCCGGCUAGAGUGCAGCAGAGGAUGGUGGAAUUCCCGGUGUAGCGGUGAAAUGCGUAGAUAUCGGGAGGAACAUCAGUGGCGAAGGCGACUGUCUGGGCUGACACUGACGCUGAGGUGCGAAAGCGUGGGGAGCAAACAGGAUUAGAUACCCUGGUAGUCCACGCCGUAAACGAUGUCAACUAGCCGUUGGGGAACUUGAUUCCUUAGUGGCGCAGCUAACGCGAUAAGUUGACCGCCUGGGGAGUACGGCCGCAAGGUUAGAACUCAAAUGAAUUGACGGGGGCCCGCACAAGCGGUGGAGCAUGUGGUUUAAUUCGACGCAACGCGAAGAACCUUACCUGGCCUUGACAUCCAGAGAACCCUGCAGAGAUGCGGGGGUGCCUUCGGGAACUCUGAGACAGGUGCUGCAUGGCUGUCGUCAGCUCGUGUUGUGAAAUGUUGGGUUAAGUCCCGUAACGAGCGCAACCCUUGUCCUUAAUUGCCAGCGGGUCAUGCCGGGAACUUUAAGGAGACUGCCGGUGACAAACCGGAGGAAGGUGGGGAUGACGUCAAGUCAUCAUGGCCCUUACGGCCAGGGCUACACACGUGCUACAAUGGGACGUACAAAGGGCUGCAAGACCGCGAGGUGGAGCCAACCCCAAAAAACGUUUCGUAGUCCGGAUUGGAGUCUGCAACUCGACUCCAUGAAGUCGGAAUCGCUAGUAAUCGUGAAUCAGAAUGUCACGGUGAAUACGUUCCCGGGCCUUGUACACACCGCCCGUCACACCAUGGGAGUGGAUUGCACCAGAAGUAGGUAGCUUAACCGCAAGGGGGGCGCUUACCACGGUGUGGUUCAUGACUGGGGUGAAGUCGUAACAAGGUAACC
RNAcentral lists this ribosomal RNA (1497 nucleotides) under uncultured bacterium. Its description in RNAcentral is "bacterial SSU rRNA". It matches the Rfam family "Bacterial small subunit ribosomal RNA". The record is from RNAcentral.